RNAcentral lists this ribosomal RNA (484 nucleotides) under uncultured bacterium. Its description in RNAcentral is "partial 16S ribosomal RNA". It matches the Rfam family "Bacterial small subunit ribosomal RNA", at positions 30 to 507 of the family's 1533-position model. The record is from RNAcentral.
AUUGGACGCUGGCGGCAGGCCUAACACAUGCAAGUCGAGCGGAUGAAGGGAGCUUGCUCCUGGAUUCAGCGGCGGACGGGUGAGUAAUGCCUAGGAAUCUGCCUGGUAGUGGGGGAUAACGUCCGGAAACGGGCGCUAAUACCGCAUACGUCCUGAGGGAGAAAGUGGGGGAUCCUCGGACCUCACGCUAUCAGAUGAGCCUAGGUCGGAUUAGCUAGUUGGUGGGGUAAAGGCCUACCAAGGCGACGAUCCGUAACUGGUCUGAGAGGAUGAUCAGUCACACUGGAACUGAGACACGGUCCAGACUCCUACGGGAGGCAGCAGUGGGGAAUAUUGGACAAUGGGCGAAAGCCUGAUCCAGCCAUGCCGCGUGUGUGAAGAAGGUCUUCGGAUUGUAAAGCACUUUAAGUUGGGAGGAAGGGCAGUAAGUUAAUACCUUGCUGUUUUGACGUUACCAACAGAAUAAGCACCGGCUAACUUCGUG